GGGUUGUGAGGUUAAGCGACUAAGCGUACACGGUGGAUGCCCUGGCAGUCAGAGGCGAUGAAGGACGUGCUAAUCUGCGAAAAGCGCCGGCGAGGUGAUAUGAACCUUUGACCCGGCGAUGUCCGAAUGGGGAAACCCAGUGUGAUUCGUCACACUAUCGUUAACUGAAUACAUAGGUUAACGAGGCGAACCGGGGGAACUGAAACAUCUAAGUACCCCGAGGAAAAGAAAUCAACCGAGAUUCCCCCAGUAGCGGCGAGCGAACGGGGAGCAGCCCAGAGUCUGAAUCAGCUUGUGUGUUAGUGGAAGCGUCUGGAAAGUCGCACGGUACAGGGUGACAGUCCCGUACACGAAAGCACACAGGUUGUGAACUCGAAGAGUAGGGCGGGACACGUGGUAUCCUGUCUGAAUAUGGGGGGACCAUCCUCCAAGGCUAAAUACUCCUGACUGACCGAUAGUGAACCAGUACCGUGAGGGAAAGGCGAAAAGAACCCCGGCGAGGGGAGUGAAAAAGAACCUGAAACCGUGUACGUACAAGCAGUGGGAGCACCUUCGUGGUGUGACUGCGUACCUUUUGUAUAAUGGGUCAGCGACUUAUAUUCUGUAGCAAGGUUAACCGUAUAGGGGAGCCGAAGGGAAACCGAGUCUUAACUGGGCGUUAAGUUGCAGGGUAUAGACCCGAAACCCGGUGAUCUAGCCAUGGGCAGGUUGAAGGUUGGGUAACACUAACUGGAGGACCGAACCGACUAAUGUUGAAAAAUUAGCGGAUGACUUGUGGCUGGGGGUGAAAGGCCAAUCAAACCGGGAGAUAGCUGGUUCUCCCCGAAAGCUAUUUAGGUAGCGCCUCGUGAACUCAUCUUCGGGGGUAGAGCACUGUUUCGGCUAGGGGGCCAUCCCGGCUUACCAACCCGAUGCAAACUACGAAUACCGAAGAAUGUUAUCACGGGAGACACACGGCGGGUGCUAACGUCCGUCGUGAAGAGGGAAACAACCCAGACCGCCAGCUAAGGUCCCAAAGUCAUGGUUAAGUGGGAAACGAUGUGGGAAGGCACAGACAGCCAGGAUGUUGGCUUAGAAGCAGCCAUCAUUUAAAGAAAGCGUAAUAGCUCACUGGUCGAGUCGGCCUGCGCGGAAGAUGUAACGGGGCUAAACCAUGCACCGAAGCUGCGGCAGCGACGCUUAUGCGUUGUUGGGUAGGGGAGCGUUCUGUAAGCCGUUGAAGGUGUGCUGUGAGGCAUGCUGGAGGUAUCAGAAGUGCGAAUGCUGACAUAAGUAACGAUAAAGCGGGUGAAAAGCCCGCUCGCCGGAAGACCAAGGGUUCCUGUCCAACGUUAAUCGGGGCAGGGUGAGUCGACCCCUAAGGCGAGGCCGAAAGGCGUAGUCGAUGGGAAACAGGUUAAUAUUCCUGUACUUGGUGUUACUGCGAAGGGGGGACGGAGAAGGCUAUGUUAGCCGGGCGACGGUUGUCCCGGUUUAAGCAUGUAGGCGGAGGUUCCAGGUAAAUCCGGUACCUUUUUAACGCUGAGGUGUGAUGACGAGGCACUACGGUGCUGAAGUAACAAAUGCCCUGCUUCCAGGAAAAGCCUCUAAGCAUCAGGUAACAUCAAAUCGUACCCCAAACCGACACAGGUGGUCAGGUAGAGAAUACCAAGGCGCUUGAGAGAACUCGGGUGAAGGAACUAGGCAAAAUGGUGCCGUAACUUCGGGAGAAGGCACGCUGAUAUGUAGGUGAAGCCCCUGCGGGUGGAGCUGAAAUCAGUCGAAGAUACCAGCUGGCUGCAACUGUUUAUUAAAAACACAGCACUGUGCAAACACGAAAGUGGACGUAUACGGUGUGACGCCUGCCCGGUGCCGGAAGGUUAAUUGAUGGGGUUAGCGGCAACGCGAAGCUCUUGAUCGAAGCCCCGGUAAACGGCGGCCGUAACUAUAACGGUCCUAAGGUAGCGAAAUUCCUUGUCGGGUAAGUUCCGACCUGCACGAAUGGCGUAAUGAUGGCCAGGCUGUCUCCACCCGAGACUCAGUGAAAUUGAACUCGCUGUGAAGAUGCAGUGUACCCGCGGCAAGACGGAAAGACCCCGUGAACCUUUACUAUAGCUUGACACUGAACACUGGUCCUUGAUGUGUAGGAUAGGUGGGAGGCUUUGAAGCGUGGACGCCAGUCUGCGUGGAGCCAACCUUGAAAUACCACCCUUUAAUGGCUGGUGUUCUAACGUAGACCCGUAAUCCGGGUUGCGGACAGUGUCUGGUGGGUAGUUUGACUGGGGCGGUCUCCUCCCAAAGAGUAACGGAGGAGCACGAAGGUUAGCUAAUCCUGGUCGGACAUCAGGAGGUUAGUGCAAUGGCAUAAGCUAGCUUGACUGCGAGAGUGACGGCUCGAGCAGGUGCGAAAGCAGGUCAUAGUGAUCCGGUGGUUCUGAAUGGAAGGGCCAUCGCUCAACGGAUAAAAGGUACUCCGGGGAUAACAGGCUGAUACCGCCCAAGAGUUCAUAUCGACGGCGGUGUUUGGCACCUCGAUGUCGGCUCAUCACAUCCUGGGGCUGAAGUAGGUCCCAAGGGUAUGGCUGUUCGCCAUUUAAAGUGGUACGCGAGCUGGGUUUAGAACGUCGUGAGACAGUUCGGUCCCUAUCUGCCGUGGGCGCUGGAGAAUUGAGGGGGGCUGCUCCUAGUACGAGAGGACCGGAGUGGACGCAUCACUGGUGUUCGGGUUGUCAUGCCAAUGGCACUGCCCGGUAGCUAAAUGCGGAAAAGAUAAGUGCUGAAAGCAUCUAAGCACGAAACUUGCCCCGAGAUGAGUUCUCCCUGACCCUUUAAGGGUCCUGAAGGAACGUUGAAGACUACGACGUUGAUAGGUCGGGUGUGUAAGCGCAGCGAUGCGUUGAGCUAACCGAUACUAAUGAACCGUGAGGCUUAACCUUACAACGCCGAAGCUGUU
Molecule: ribosomal RNA, 2932 nt
Filed under: Enterobacter asburiae
Lineage: Bacteria; Pseudomonadati; Pseudomonadota; Gammaproteobacteria; Enterobacterales; Enterobacteriaceae
Description: bacterial LSU rRNA
Rfam family: Bacterial large subunit ribosomal RNA
Source: RNAcentral